UCUUUAAGGCACCAUCUUUGUCUGUUGACCUUCACCUUAGCCAAAUGAGUUCAUUGAUGAUGCAUUGCUUGAUUCACGUUCCAGAACUAAUGAAUGUUAAAGGGAUUGGUAGAUUUGAAAGCAUGUGUAGGUUGA
Molecule: small RNA, 135 nt
Filed under: Arabidopsis thaliana (thale cress)
Lineage: Eukaryota; Viridiplantae; Streptophyta; Magnoliopsida; Brassicales; Brassicaceae
Description: ATSL206800
Source: RNAcentral